GGGGCUUUAGCUCAGCUGGCUAGAGCGCCUCGUUUGCACCGAGGAGGUCAGGGGUUCGAAUCCCCUAAGCUCCACCA
Molecule: transfer RNA, 77 nt
Filed under: Bacilli bacterium
Lineage: Bacteria; Bacillati; Bacillota; Bacilli
Also listed under: 1 other name
Description: tRNA-Ala
Rfam family: tRNA
About the family: Transfer RNA (tRNA) molecules are approximately 80 nucleotides in length.
Source: RNAcentral